RNAcentral lists this long non-coding RNA (2662 nucleotides) under Anser cygnoides (Swan goose). Its description in RNAcentral is "lncRNA (ENSACDG00005010635.1)". Lineage: Eukaryota; Metazoa; Chordata; Aves; Anseriformes; Anatidae. The record is from RNAcentral.
AUGCGGCGCGUGAGGAGGAUGCUGGCGGCUGCGGAGGGGUUUUACACCCAACCCGUGCCCAGAAAGGGGGAGCUGGGGGCUGCGGGGUUCAGGUGGAGCCAGGCACAGCCCCGGGCUUCGUGCUGGGCUUUCACCUCCUGCCAAUUCCCGCUGGAGCCGACGCGGCGAGGACCGAACCGAAAAAGAGGAAGGGGGCCGGGACGGUGCCCGUGCGAUAGGGGAUGUGGCCGGCGCCUUUCCCCUCUUCCCCUCGGGGGGCGGGAAGGGAGGGGAGGCUCCCAGCAACAUCCCCGAGUUUUGGGGCGAUGCGAAGCAGCCCGGCUGGCCCCCCCAAAUUUCCACCUCCCGUCACACCGACAUUACGGCGGGGGGCUGGAAGAGGAGAGUGGGAAGCAGAGCUCGCGUCCUGACCCCGAAGCACAGAAAUCGGAGCAAAACGCGACGAGGGGGAGGCUGGAGGCCGCCCGGCCGUGUCGCGGCCUCCUCCUCCUCCUCCUCCUCUCCUCCGCAUGCUUUUGUCCGAGCCCAAGGUCGGGCAGGGAGAAGCGGAGCACAACAGGGGCACGGGGGGGGGGCCGCGGCAUGCUCCGGGCUGCCCGCGGGGUGGUGGCCACCAGCACCCCCGGGGCCCUCCCGACCCCACGGCGCUGGGGACGGGGGUGCUCCCCGAGCCGUGCCCGGUUCCCCUUUUUCUCUCCUCUCGGUUCUUGCGACGGCCCCGGGAGGGUCCCAGCUUGGUCACGUCGUGUGCUGGGCACCGUGGGCCACAUCCUGCCCGUCCCGGAGCCGUGCACGCAGCGGGGCUGGCGCUGUGUAAUCAAGGGAACGCUAAUUGCCCCGUGAUUCCCUUCCCUGCCUCCCAUCCAGCGAUGGCCUCCCAUCCCCUGGCGGCCUCCCGCUGACGAUCCCGGUCCCAAACCCGUGGGUUUUGUGGGACGUUUUCCUGCCGGGGCCGCCUGCAGACCCCUUAUCAGCGGGUGCCGCGCGCCGUCAGCGCCACCCGUGCCUCGUGGCUCCCCUUCUUUGACGUGCAAUCUUCUAAUUAAUAACCAGCCCUUUGAAAGCGGAGCGCAAACAUUAAUUAAUUCCCCGCCAGGUAGGUAAUUAACAGCGAUGACUCCCAUUUUACUGCCGAGAUCCGGCACCGCGCGCCCGCGGGUCCGCUCCGCACCACCGGGGGUGUCGCCGGGUGCUGGGUGUCACCGCGGCCACCUCCGGCUGCGGGGGAACGAGGCCGGGUGCCAGGAGGCCCGGAGGCCAGCUCCAGCCUCCAUUUGGGAGGAUUUUUCCAGGGGUCCCCGUCCUCUGCGCCCCAUCCUCGCAGCAUCCCCACGACAAAGAUCCCGCUGCAAAAGGUCCCUGCGAUGCCCACCAAGGGGGUGCCACGAAAAACGGGCGUUUUUAGCCUUUUUCUUUCUUUUUUUUCCAGGCGUUUUUGGUUUGGUCAUUCAUUUUUCUCCCCCACCAACUCCGUUCCCGACCCGCCGAGAGCGGGCACUGGAAGUCCCCACGCUGACGUCUGCGCGCGCCGAGCCGGCAACAGCUUGCGGGCGGCCGCUGCGCCUUUACUUAUGGGCCUCCCUAAUUGACUUAAUUAACCAGCCCGUGCUCGUGCAGCGCUGCGGAGCUGCGAGGCCCCGUGCAGCUGCCCCCAGCUGCUCUGUGGGCGCUGCCCUCGCUGCGAUCCUCAGCCCCUGCCGGGUGCCUGCAGAAAAUGGGAAAAUGGGGAAGAUGUGAAAAUCACCCAAAUUCAGCCAAAUUCUUGCUCUCGUGGUGUGUGGGGCAGGGCCCGGCCCUGCUCAACCAGCGCCUCGCUGGGCUCUGUUCCUGUUUCCUAGCGCCUGUGGCUGGUAAUGGGCUGGGCGGGCACCGUGCAAGACGCACCGGGCACUGGGCACCGUGCACCAGGAGCACCAUGCAUCAUGCACCGGGUACAGCACAACGUGCACUGUGCACCGCGCACCGGGCAGCAUGCACCACGCACCGAGCACCAUGCACCGUGCAGUGGUCAGCAUGCACCGAGCACCAUGCACAGGGCACCGUACACCAUGCAGUGGUCAGCAUUCACCGAGCACCACGCACAGGGCACCGCGCACCAUGCAGUGGUCAGCAUUCACCGAGCACCACGCACCGAGCACCACGCGCUGAGUACCACGCACCGGUCAGCAAGCACUGAGCACCAUGCACCAAGCACCAUGCAGCGGUCAGCACGCACCGAGCACCAUGCACAGGGGCACCGUGCACGGGUCAGCAUGCACCGAGCGCCGUGCAUUGCACUGAGCGCCGUGCAUUGAGCACCAUGCACCGUGCACUGUGCACCGUGCAGCGGUCAGCACGCACCGAGCACCAUGCACAGGGGCACCGUGCACGGGUCAGCAUGCACCGAGCACCAUGCAUUGAGCACCACGCACCAUGCACUGUGCACCAUGCAACGGUCAGCACGCACCGAGCACCAUGCACGGGGCACCAUGCACGGGGCACCAUGCACCGAGCACCGAGCACCGAGCACCGUGCACCGGCCGCUCCCCAUUUCUGCACUCUGCUUCAAAGGGACAACGGGGGGGGGCCGUGCAUCCCCCCCCCCAAACAAAGCAGUGCCAAAUCGCGGCGGGGCGUUGCACGCACCCCCCCCCCCCCCGCCCCCCAAUAAAUAAAUAAAUAA